RNAcentral lists this transfer RNA (67 nucleotides) under Marmota monax (woodchuck). RNAcentral's name for it is "tRNA.Undet". Lineage: Eukaryota; Metazoa; Chordata; Mammalia; Rodentia; Sciuridae. The record is from RNAcentral.
GGGGUUGUGGCUCAGUGGUAGAGUACGCGCCUUGUGUGAGGCACUGGGUUCGAUCCUCAGCACCACA